GAGAGCCGGAUGACCGGGAAACCGUCAUGUCCGGUUCGGCGGGAGGCCGCGCGGAACAGGACCUGCCACGGCAGACACCUCGCCGCGCGGCCGACCCAAC
This 100-nucleotide non-coding RNA is filed under the name Streptomyces sp. MnatMP-M27. The record is from RNAcentral. Lineage: Bacteria; Bacillati; Actinomycetota; Actinomycetes; Kitasatosporales; Streptomycetaceae.